GACGAACGCUGGCGGCGUGCUUAACACAUGCAAGUCGAACGGAAAGGCCCCUUUUUGGGUACUCGUGUGUCUAACGGUUGAGUAACACGUGAGUAACCUUCCCUUGACUUCUUGUUAACUUCAGUUAACUGGGUCUAAUACCUGUUAUGUAUCCUUUCUUCAUGGUUGGGUUUUUAAAGCUUCUGGGGUUUUGGAUGUACUCGCUGCUUAUCAGCUUGUUUUUGGGGUAGUGGCUUACCAAGGCUUUUACGGGUAGCCGGCCUGAGAGGGGGACCGGCCAAAUUGGGAAUGAGAGACGGCACAGAAUCGUACGGGAGGCAGAAGUGGGGAAGAUUGAAAAAUGGGAGGAAGCCUGAUGCAGCAAAGCCGCGGGCGGGAUGACGGGCUUAGGGUUGAAAAAAGAAUUCAGAAGGGGAGAAGAUUGUGGUGACGGUAACUGAAGAAGAAGCACCGGCUAACUACGUG
RNAcentral lists this ribosomal RNA (465 nucleotides) under uncultured bacterium. RNAcentral's name for it is "partial 16S ribosomal RNA". It matches the Rfam family "Bacterial small subunit ribosomal RNA", at positions 28 to 507 of the family's 1533-position model. The record is from RNAcentral.